UUUCUGCUCCCUCCAUCCGAAAAUACUUGUCAUCAAAAUGGAUAAAAACAUAUGUAUCUAAAACUAAAAUACGUCUAGAUACAUUUCCUUUUAUCCGUUUUGAUGACAAGUAUUUCCGGACAGAGGGAGUAUUUG
This is a non-coding RNA of Triticum aestivum (bread wheat), 135 nucleotides long. The record is from Rfam. Lineage: Eukaryota; Viridiplantae; Streptophyta; Magnoliopsida; Poales; Poaceae.